Molecule: non-coding RNA, 23 nt
Filed under: Cricetulus griseus (Chinese hamster)
Lineage: Eukaryota; Metazoa; Chordata; Mammalia; Rodentia; Cricetidae
Source: RNAcentral
AAAAAAGGACAGUCGGAAGAAAU